CAGGUUGUUCGAUUUCCGAAGAAUUGGUACGCGAAGCCGUGUACGAAGAAGCAUAUUCGCAAGUAUGCGGCGGCAUAUUUAUAUUAUGGUUCCCUCGUCCCCGCCGUCGCCCGCCGGUCUAGCAGCCCAGUCGGCUCGCUACGUCGGCCAACGGAGCGAGUGAGAUGGCUGAAGGCCGGCGGAACGAACAGCAGAGACGAAGGAAGCGAUCUAGUUCCUAGAAAUUUCUAGUUUAAUCGUUCGAAGCUCGAACAUACCGCCCGCCUUCUUUGGAUGGCAAAGAAGCACGCAUGCAUCAAACAAAUCUAUCCAUAAAGCUAACCUUAAUGUGAACAGUAAAGUUACGUGCAUCAAACCGUUGGACACAGUGCUAGGUGCAUAAAAAUAAAAGGACUUACAACUAACAUAAUACAAAGGUACAAAGAAGAGAUAUAAGUGAUUGAAUCGAUUACGGCGGCAAACCGCCCGCCAUGACCUAUAUAAGUUUUCCAACGCGUGAAACGGAAAAUUACGUGGAAGCAGAUGAAGUGACGUCAGCAGAGGGCAUCGGGAGGGGGCACAACUUGAUUAUUGGUCUGGUGACGGAACCGCUAGUGGUUCUCAAGGUGGCUACUCUCACUCGUCCAUCUGGCCCUGGAUGAAGGGCUUCAACCCAGCCCAUCGGCCAUUUUGCCGGUGGUUGCAACUCGUCGCGUAGUAAUACUAGUGUUUCCUUCUGCUGACGCCACUUGGGAAGUUGCUGAAGGUGUUGCAGAUAUUCCCGCCUCCACCUGUGCCAAAAAUCCGAGGGGUCGUCGGAAAGUGGAUGUAGCGGUCGUGAAUUUACGCAAGCUUCCACCUGGCACAGAAGCGUCAUCAUCUCCUCGAAGGCCCCCGAAGUGCGGAGCGUACGGAGGGAUGAAGCUCCAAUCCGUGCCUUCGGGUGCCAACGAAGCUGCGGCGUCUAGGUAGAAGGCGGAGGCGCCGCGGAACAUGUUGCGCAACUCCCGGUCCGCUCCGUGGAAGACGGUCCCAUUAUCGCUCUACAUCGUGGCGCAGCGGCCUCGUCGGCUGAUGAACCUGCGAAAAGCGGCUAGGAAUGAGGCAGAGGAUUUGUGUCCUCUUCCUGGUGAUGUUCGCAGCUUCACCGGUCCUGCAUAGUCCACUCCCGUAGAAAGGAAGGGUCGCCGAGAAGUGAUGCGCUCGAGCGGUAAGGGGUCCAUCAACUGCGUGGUCAGCCUUCCACUGUAGCGAGCACAUUUUACGCACCCCUUAAUGACGUCUCGCACUAGAGAGCGGCCAUGGAUGAUCCAGUAGCGUCGCGCCAGCAGGCUCCUGGGAUGAGAGGCUUGGUCGAGGCGGCGUCCGACGCGUAGCAGCCCUUGGUCAUCCAAGAAGGGUCUCAAGGCGAUGAGGGUCGAGGAUCGCCGUACCUCUUUGUGCUGCCGGAGCUGGUCGACCUCUGUGUGGAAGUUGGACUUCUGAGCUAGGCCGAUAGCGAUCCGUAGAGCAGUGUCUCGCUCCGAAGCCCGGAUAAACCCGGUUUCGGUGGUCAGCUUCCUGGUAGAUUUGUACUCGGCCCCGCUCCAAGUCCGCCUCCUCGACCUUUCCUAGUGGUGAUGCAGGCCACAGAUCUGGGAGAUGAGCCAGGAGGGUCCCCUCCACCAAAGCUGCGACGACAGGAGCUCCGACGGCGUUAUCUCUCUUGUUGCCAAGUCCGCAGGGUUGUGUUUGGUUGCCACGUGUCUCCAAUUUUGAGGCGGAACAUUGGACUGCACGGUGGCUACUCUGUGGGCAACAAACGGCUUCCAGGUUAAGGCAUGCCCUCGGAUCCAGUGGAGGGUAACGCUGGAGUCCGUCCAAGCUGUGAUGG
Non-coding RNA from Osmia lignaria (orchard mason bee), 1852 nucleotides. The record is from RefSeq and is a predicted model, not a curated record. NCBI's taxonomy places the organism in Eukaryota, Metazoa, Arthropoda, Insecta, Hymenoptera, Megachilidae.